CGUAGGGUCCGAGCGUUGUCCGGAAUUAUUGGGCGUAAAGGGCUCGUAGGCGGUUCGUCGCGUCGGGAGUGAAAACUCGGAGCUCAACUCCGAGCCUGCUUCCGAUACGGGCAGACUAGAGGUAGGCAGGGGAGGGCGGAACUCCUGGUGUAGCGGUGGAAUGCGCAGAUAUCAGGAAGAACACCGGUGGCGAAGGCGGCUCUCUGGGCCUUACCUGACGCUGAGGAGCGAAAGCGUGGGUAGCGAACAGGAUUAGAUACCCUGGUAGUCCACGCCGUAAACGUUGGGCGCUAGGUGUGGGGGACAUUCCACGUCCUCCGUGCCGCAGCUAACGCAUUAAGCGCCCCGCCUGGGGAGUACGGCCGCAAGGCUA
Molecule: ribosomal RNA, 373 nt
Filed under: uncultured organism
Description: bacterial SSU rRNA
Rfam family: Bacterial small subunit ribosomal RNA
Source: RNAcentral